This 445-nucleotide transfer-messenger RNA is filed under the name Patescibacteria group. RNAcentral describes it as "GCA-016699515 sp016699515 Standard tmRNA". It matches the Rfam family "transfer-messenger RNA". From Rfam's summary of the family: Bacterial tmRNA, also known as 10Sa RNA or SsrA, is named for its dual tRNA and mRNA-like properties. Its role is to liberate the mRNA from a stalled ribosome. RNAcentral also lists the same sequence under 1 other name. The record is from RNAcentral.
GGGGAUGACAUGGCUUUGACAGAAAUGGUUCUUGGCUAAAAAUGGCUAUUCAGGCAUCGUAUCGUCUGCCUGCCCCGCCCUAGGCGGGUAAAUCCGUCCGAUACAACUUUAAGUGCAACCUCUAAAGGUUCUCUAGGAACUCGCUUUGCUCAACUUAAGAAUGCAAUGCCUUCUUUCGUUCCUGCAUUUGCAUAGUUCCAUUGCGACUGCCUAUUUCGCGGUCCCGUCUUGUUUAGUGAUACUCGCUACCUAAAUAAGGCGCUAUUCAGCGAGUUACGUGUAACCGAUUCCCCUGGUAUCGUUUGCAUCGACAAUUGAUCCAGGUACGUGACGGAGUUCUUUGUGAGUUUCUCAUUCCCUCAUCGACAACUUGAAACCCACUAUAAUAGUAGAUGUUUUUACCCUUCAUUUUUGGACCCCGGUUCGAUUCCGGGCAUCUCCACCA